Long non-coding RNA from Hermetia illucens (black soldier fly), 541 nucleotides. RefSeq lists it as uncharacterized. The transcript has 4 exons. NCBI's taxonomy places the organism in Eukaryota, Metazoa, Arthropoda, Insecta, Diptera, Stratiomyidae. The record is from RefSeq and is a predicted model, not a curated record.
GAAAAGUUCAAGGACUCACUCUAGUUCAAGCAAUAGAUGACUUCAUCUUGAAAUUUAAAGGCGACCAUUCAUUCAAUGGAAAGUGUUUAAAAAGAUGAAAAGUAAUACAAAAGAUAUUAAACUUUUUGGAAAACUUUCAGCAGAUUUGAAGAUCGGAAAGUACUGACGAAGAAGUGUCAAUUCCACCCAUAGAAAUCAGAAAUUUUUAUUUACGUUAGGCUUGAUGAAAUGAGCGCUAACCAACAUAGAUUUUCCAUUUCUAAUUCAGAACUUCCAAAUGUUCCACUGCAAGGUUUUUUACCGACAUUUUAUCACUGGAUAAGGAUGGAGAUUCUAUGAGAGAGAAUCUCAUCUUUAACAGUUUAGAUGGCUGCCCACUUUUCGCUAACGCCGGUAGACAUUAAUGAGGCUCUACAUGGAACGGCGCACUUAAUUGCAAUCAUAAGUACACGAUUUUGUAUCUAGAAAUCAUAAAAAAAACAACAAAGAUUAAGCGAAUUAUAGUUUCUCCCAGACCAUGAAAACAAACAACGAUAAAAAA